CUACGGGAUGCUCCAGUGUGGAAUAUUGCACAAUGGGGGGAACCCUGAUGCAGCAACGCCGCGUGGAGGAUGACGCAUUUCGGUGUGUAAACUCCUUUUAUAUGUCAAGAAAAUGACGGUAGCAUAUGAAUAAGCACCGGCUAACUCCGUGCCAGCAGCCGCGGUAAUACGGGAGGGUGCAAGCGUUACUCGGAAUCACUGGGCGUAAAGGACGCGUAGGCGGGUUGGAAAGUCAGGUGUGAAAUCCUACAGCUUAACUGUAGAACUGCACUUGAAACUUCUAAUCUAGAGUAUGGGAGGGGGAGAUGGAAUUAGUGGUGUAGGGGUAAUAUCCGUAGAUAUCACUAGGAAUACCUAAAGCGAAGGCGAUCUCCUGGAACAUUACUGACGCUAAGGCGUGAAAGCGUGGGGAGCAAACAGGAUUAGAUACCCCUGUAGUC
RNAcentral lists this ribosomal RNA (440 nucleotides) under uncultured bacterium. RNAcentral's name for it is "partial 16S ribosomal RNA". It matches the Rfam family "Bacterial small subunit ribosomal RNA", at positions 339 to 795 of the family's 1533-position model. The record is from RNAcentral.